This 580-nucleotide ribosomal RNA is filed under the name Enterobacter roggenkampii. RNAcentral's name for it is "partial 23S ribosomal RNA". It matches the Rfam family "Bacterial large subunit ribosomal RNA", at positions 1 to 622 of the family's 2925-position model. Lineage: Bacteria; Pseudomonadati; Pseudomonadota; Gammaproteobacteria; Enterobacterales; Enterobacteriaceae. The record is from RNAcentral.
GGUUAAGCGACUAAGCGUACACGGUGGAUGCCCUGGCAGUCAGAGGCGAUGAAGGACGUGCUAAUCUGCGAAAAGCGCCGGCGAGGUGAUAUGAACCUUUGACCCGGCGAUGUCCGAAUGGGGAAACCCAGUGUGAUUCGUCACACUAUCGUUAACUGAAUACAUAGGUUAACGAGGCGAACCGGGGGAACUGAAACAUCUAAGUACCCCGAGGAAAAGAAAUCAACCGAGAUUCCCCCAGUAGCGGCGAGCGAACGGGGAGCAGCCCAGAGUCUGAAUCAGCUUGUGUGUUAGUGGAAGCGUCUGGAAAGUCGCACGGUACAGGGUGACAGUCCCGUACACGAAAAUGCACAGGUUGUGAACUCGAAGAGUAGGGCGGGACACGUGGUAUCCUGUCUGAAUAUGGGGGGACCAUCCUCCAAGGCUAAAUACUCCUGACUGACCGAUAGUGAACCAGUACCGUGAGGGAAAGGCGAAAAGAACCCCGGCGAGGGGAGUGAAAAAGAACCUGAAACCGUGUACGUACAAGCAGUGGGAGCACCUUCGUGGUGUGACUGCGUACCUUUUGUAUAAUGGGUCA